UUUUGAAAAAAAAAAAAAAAGAUUGAUGUGAAUCAUCUGGAAUUUAGAUUUUACUUAGUGAAAAAGAAAUCUCACAGGUAUAUAACAAGUGGCCCUUGAAAAAAUUUAGCUAAUUACAAAGUUUGUGUAAAAAUCUUGCAGUUAUCUUUCUGCAUUGAAUAUAUUUGCUUCUUCUGUCUGGUUUUUGUAGAUUUAUCUUCUAUUCCAGUGCUGUCAAAAUUUCUCUGUUGUCAUGCUGAAUGACUGAAAAUUUCCACUCUGGACUUUUAUUGACUAUAAGGUAUAAGCUUUUCUUUGAAUAGGAACUGAGCUGCCUUGAUGUUGAUUUUGCUAGUAGUUUUGGGCCCAUCUACUAAUGCUGUGGUUUUGACUAUGUAAUCAUGUGCAUCUUCUCUGCAUGAGUUUCGGAUUUACAUUCAUCCCCGACUUA
Molecule: unclassified non-coding RNA, 430 nt
Filed under: Hevea brasiliensis (rubber tree)
Lineage: Eukaryota; Viridiplantae; Streptophyta; Magnoliopsida; Malpighiales; Euphorbiaceae
Source: RNAcentral